RNAcentral lists this ribosomal RNA (624 nucleotides) under Legionella pneumophila. RNAcentral's name for it is "partial 23S ribosomal RNA". It matches the Rfam family "Bacterial large subunit ribosomal RNA", at positions 603 to 1230 of the family's 2925-position model. Lineage: Bacteria; Pseudomonadati; Pseudomonadota; Gammaproteobacteria; Legionellales; Legionellaceae. The record is from RNAcentral.
ACCUUUUGUAUAAUGGGUCAGCGAGUUACUUUCAGUGGCGAGGUUAACUGAAUAAGGGAGCCGUAGAGAAAUCGAGUCUGAAUAGGGCGAUAGUCGCUGGGAGUAGACCCGAAACCGGGCGAUCUAGCCAUGUGCAGGAUGAAGGUUGGGUAACACCAACUGGAGGUCCGAACCGGGUAAUGUUGAAAAAUUAUCGGAUGACGUGUGGCUAGGAGUGAAAGGCUAAUCAAGCCCGGAGAUAGCUGGUUCUCCCCGAAAGCUAUUUAGGUAGCGCCUCGUGAAUGAUUACUGGGGGUAGAGCACUGUUUCGGCUAGGGGGCUGUCAUGGCUUACCAAACCGAUGCAAACUCCGAAUACCGGCUAAUUGGAUCACGGGAGACACACGGCGGGUGCUAACGUCCGUCGUGGAGAGGGAAACAACCCAGACCGCCAGCUAAGGUCCCCAAGUACUAGUUAAGUGGGAAACGAUGUGGGAAGGCAUAGACAGCCAGGAGGUUGGCUUAGAAGCAGCCACCCUUUAAAGAAAGCGUAAUAGCUCACUGGUCGAGUCGGCCUGCGCGGAAGAUGUAACGGGGCUAAAACUAGUCACCGAAGCUGCGGAUGUGCGCGAAGGCGCACGUGGUA